This 251-nucleotide long non-coding RNA is filed under the name Theobroma cacao (cacao). RNAcentral's name for it is "long non-coding RNA (TCAC_LNC004066)". Lineage: Eukaryota; Viridiplantae; Streptophyta; Magnoliopsida; Malvales; Malvaceae. The record is from RNAcentral.
AGAAGACUGUGUCUCCUCCUUUGUAUUCACCAUUUUUCAAAGAGGAAAACCACACUCAUGGAACUUUAUAAAACAAAUAGAAAAGCUGAGAAAGAGAAAGAAAGAACAUUUCUCCAACAGAGGUUAAUUUAAUUCACCAUUAAGAUCAUUUCUCCAACAGAGGUUAAUUUAAUUCACCAUUAACUUUAUACAUUAAGAAACUCGUGCAAUUAGCACAAGAACUUCCUCAACAAAGGUGGAAGUUACCAAGU